GAGCACUGUUUGGCCGAGGGGCCCCUCUUGGGUUACCGUAUUCAGACAAAUUCCGAAUGCCAAUUUAUUUAACUUGGGAGUCAGAACAUGGGUGACAAGGUCCGUGUUCGUAAGGCAAUCAGCCCAGACCACCAGCUAAGGUCCCACAAUAUAUGUUAAGUGCAAUUGGAUGUGUCGUUGCCCAGCCAACUAGGAUGUUGGCUUAGAAGCAGCCAUCAUUUAAAGAGUGCGCAAUAGCUCAAGAGCCG
Molecule: ribosomal RNA, 248 nt
Filed under: Staphylococcus aureus
Lineage: Bacteria; Bacillati; Bacillota; Bacilli; Caryophanales; Staphylococcaceae
Description: partial 23S ribosomal RNA
Rfam family: Bacterial large subunit ribosomal RNA
Source: RNAcentral